Molecule: long non-coding RNA, 370 nt
Organism: Pieris brassicae (large cabbage white)
Lineage: Eukaryota; Metazoa; Arthropoda; Insecta; Lepidoptera; Pieridae
Exons: 3
Source: RefSeq, a predicted model, not a curated record
GUACGUAUUUUUUUAGACGAACAUUUCUUUAAUAUACGACUCGUAGGCCGUAGCAAUUACUAUUAGAUAUAGAACCGGAGUGCAUCGAAAAGUAUUUCAAAAGAGUGGUUAAAGUUGGUACUUUAGACAAGAAGCCAGGCGUCGACACUCUGUAACUUCCAAUAGCGAAGAUGUUGUAUGAUAUUUUAAUUUAUAGAGCCAAGUUAACAAAGGAAUUGGCAACGCGGUACUCAACGUAAUCUAUAAUAAAAGUGCAAUAUCUAUAUGACGUCACUAAAGCGUAACCGAACUAAAUGGUGCUAUAAUAUGAAAUGAUAAACGAACAUCAUGUGUCGGUGUUUUGGACAGUAACCUGAAGGUGGUCUCGUCG